This 571-nucleotide ribosomal RNA is filed under the name Filobasidium magnum. RNAcentral describes it as "eukaryotic LSU rRNA". It matches the Rfam family "Eukaryotic large subunit ribosomal RNA", at positions 99 to 656 of the family's 3401-position model. Lineage: Eukaryota; Fungi; Basidiomycota; Tremellomycetes; Filobasidiales; Filobasidiaceae. The record is from RNAcentral.
CGGGAAGAGCUCAAAUUUGAAAUCUGGUGGCCUCAGGUCAUCCGAGUUGUAAUCUAUAGAAGUGUUUUCCGUGCUGGCUCAUGUACAAGUCCCUUGGAACAGGGCGUCAUAGAGGGUGAGAAUCCCGUCCUUGACAUGAACUACCAGUGCUCUGUGAUACAUUUUCAACGAGUCGAGUUGUUUGGGAAUGCAGCUCAAAAUGGGUGGUAAAUUCCAUCUAAAGCUAAAUAUUGGCGAGAGACCGAUAGCGAACAAGUACCGUGAGGGAAAGAUGAAAAGCACUUUGGAAAGAGAGUUAAACAGUAUGUGAAAUUGUUGAAAGGGAAACGAUUGAAGUCAGUCGUGCUCUUUGGAUUCAGCCGGUUCUGCCGGUGUACUUCCUUUGAGUGGGGUCAACAUCAGUUUUGAUCGCUGGAUAAAGGCUGGAGGAACGUAGUACCCUCGGGUAAACUUAUAGCCUCCUGUCACAUACAGUGGUUGGGACUGAGGAACGCAGCACGCCUUUAUGGCCGGGAUUCGUCCACGUACGUGCUUAGGAUGUUGACAUAAUGGCUUUAAACGACCCGUCUUG